RNAcentral lists this ribosomal RNA (714 nucleotides) under uncultured beta proteobacterium. RNAcentral describes it as "bacterial SSU rRNA". It matches the Rfam family "Bacterial small subunit ribosomal RNA", at positions 56 to 763 of the family's 1533-position model. The record is from RNAcentral. Lineage: Bacteria; Pseudomonadati; Pseudomonadota; Betaproteobacteria.
UGCAAGUCGAACGGCAGCGGGGGAGCUUGCUCCCGCCGGCGAGUGGCGAACGGGUGAGUAAUACAUCGGAACGUACCCAGUAGCGGGGGAUAGCCCGGCGAAAGCCGGAUUAAUACCGCAUACGCCCUACGGGGGAAAGGGGGGGAUCGUAAGACCUCUCACUAUUGGAGCGGCCGAUGGCUGAUUAGCUAGUUGGUGGGGUAAAGGCCUACCAAGGCGACGAUCAGUAGCUGGUCUGAGAGGACGACCAGCCACACUGGGACUGAGACACGGCCCAGACUCCUACGGGAGGCAGCAGUGGGGAAUUUUGGACAAUGGGCGAAAGCCUGAUCCAGCAAUGCCGCGUGUGCGAAGAAGGCCUUCGGGUUGUAAAGCACUUUUGUCAGGGAAGAAAUCGUUUGGGUUAAUACCCCGAGCAGUUGACGGUACCUGAAGAAUAAGCACCGGCUAACUACGUGCCAGCAGCCGCGGUAAUACGUAGGGUGCAAGCGUUAAUCGGAAUUACUGGGCGUAAAGCGUGCGCAGGUGGUUUGUUAAGACAGUUGUGAAAUCCCCGGGCUUAACCUGGGAACUGCAAUUGUGACUGGCAGACUAGAGUGAGGCAGAGGGGGGCGGAAUUCCUGGUGUAGCAGUGAAAUGCGUAGAUAUCAGGAGGAACACCGAUGGCGAAAGCAGCCCCCUGGGCUAUCACUGACACUCAUGCACGAAAGCGUG